AGCGAACGCUGGCGGCAGGCCUAACACAUGCAAGUCGAGCGCCCCGCAAGGGGAGCGGCAGACGGGAGAGUAACACGUGGGAACGUACCCUUCAGUUCGGAACAACCAAGGGAAACUUUGGCUAAUACCGAAUACGUCCGUAAGGAGAAAGAUUUAUCGCUGAAGGAUCGGCCCGCGUCUGAUUAGCUAGUUGGUGGGGU
RNAcentral lists this ribosomal RNA (200 nucleotides) under uncultured bacterium. Its description in RNAcentral is "partial 16S ribosomal RNA". It matches the Rfam family "Bacterial small subunit ribosomal RNA", at positions 29 to 258 of the family's 1533-position model. The record is from RNAcentral.